RNAcentral lists this long non-coding RNA (800 nucleotides) under Homo sapiens (human). Its description in RNAcentral is "HSALNT0137203". The record is from RNAcentral. Lineage: Eukaryota; Metazoa; Chordata; Mammalia; Primates; Hominidae.
GCUCUGGGACCGUCAGGAGCCAGCCCUGAGAGGAGAGCGGUAGGCCACAGAGGGCACUGGCAGGGAUGGAGCAUUAGCCUCAAAUCACUUUGCCUGAAGUGGACAUCAGUAAGGAAACCAGAACCAAACACACAAAAGAGCAGUUCCUGAACACGUGCAACCUACGGGAGACCCCUGGAAAUGACGGGAGACCCCCGGAAAUGAUGGGAGCAGGAGGCUAGUGAUACAUGGUACCAUAUUCUCUUGCAAUGCCAGGCGGGGACAGAGCCACAGCAACCAGUCAGCCCUGCAAUCAUGAGCGUGAACCAUUGAGCCUCUAGCUUGCAGUGUUGCCAGAUGACCUUGCCCAACCAUAGGCUAAGGGAAGUGAUCUGAGCACGUGUAAGAAGAUGGAGGAAAAUCAAUCCUAGUUUCAGCGAGGUUUUGCAGUGCAUGUGCAGGCUACGUUAAUGUCACCCAGGAGCUUGAUUGACAGAUGCUCAAAUGCCCAGCCCUAUCCCUGCCCCAUCUACUGAGGAACCCAAGCACCUGAAGUUCCACAAAUGCUGCAGGUGAUUUCUAUUUAUGCUAUCAUUUGAAGAACACUGAUUUAAUGUGACUGUCUAUUAAAGUUUUAUGCAAAUUGCUUCCGUAAGUUUAUUUUUUCUCAGAAAACUAAUUCAGGAAAUAACCUUUAUAAGCCUGGAUGAUACUCAGUACCUUAUCGGACUAUGUUUUUGUAUUUUCACUUACUGGCUUUGUUUUUAAAUAGCCACAGAGUAGGUAUGGGACACUGGGGGAUGGAGAGCACAUGACAGGAA